ACGGGUGCGUAACGCGUGGGAAUCUGCCCUUUGGUUCGGAAUAACAGCUGGAAACGGCUGCUAAUACGGGAUGAUGACGAAAGUCCAAAGAUUUAUCGCCAGAGGAUGAGCCCGCGUUGGAUUAGGUAGUUGGUGGGGUAAAGGCCUACCAAGCCGACGAUCCAUAGCUGGUCUGAGAGGAUGAUCAGCCACACUGGGACUGAGACACGGCCCAGACUCCUACGGGAGGCAGCAGUGGGGAAUAUUGGACAAUGGGCGAAAGCCUGAUCCAGCAAUGCCGCGUGAGUGAUGAAGGCCCUAGGGUUGUAAAGCUCUUUUACCCGGGAAGAUAAUGACUGUACCGGGAGAAUAAGCCCCGGCUAACUCCGUGCCAGCAGCCGCGGUAAUACGGAGGGGGCUAGCGUUGUUCGGAAUUACUGGGCGUAAAGCGCACGUAGGCGGCUUUGUAAGUCAGAGGUGAAAGCCUGGAGCUCAACUCCAGAACUGCCUUUGAGACUGCAUCGCUUGAAUCCAGGAGAGGUCAGUGGAAUUCCGAGU
RNAcentral lists this ribosomal RNA (537 nucleotides) under uncultured bacterium. RNAcentral's name for it is "bacterial SSU rRNA". It matches the Rfam family "Bacterial small subunit ribosomal RNA", at positions 102 to 674 of the family's 1533-position model. The record is from RNAcentral.